UACGUAGGGUGCGAGCGUUGUCCGGAAUUAUUGGGCGUAAAGAGCUUGUAGGUGGUUUGUCGCGUCUGCUGUGAAAAUCCGGGGCUCAACCCCGGACUUGCAGUGGGUACGGGCAGACUAGAGUGUGGUAGGGGAGACUGAAUUCCUGGUGUAGCGGUGGAAUGCGCAGAUAUCAGGAGGAACACCGAUGGCGAAGGCAGGUCUCUGGGCCAUUACUGACACUGAGAAGCGAAAGCAUGGGGAGCGAACAGG
Molecule: ribosomal RNA, 252 nt
Filed under: uncultured bacterium
Lineage: Bacteria
Description: partial 16S ribosomal RNA
Rfam family: Bacterial small subunit ribosomal RNA
Source: RNAcentral